This 564-nucleotide ribosomal RNA is filed under the name uncultured Actinomycetes bacterium. Its description in RNAcentral is "bacterial SSU rRNA". It matches the Rfam family "Bacterial small subunit ribosomal RNA", at positions 343 to 917 of the family's 1533-position model. The record is from RNAcentral. Lineage: Bacteria; Bacillati; Actinomycetota; Actinomycetes.
GGGAGGCAGCAGUGGGGAAUAUUGCGCAAUGGGCGAAAGCCCGAUGCAGCGACGCCGCGUGAGGGAUGAAGGCCUUCGGGUCGUAAACCUCUUUCGGCAGGGACGGAGCGAUCAGUGACGGUACCUGCAGAAGAAGCCCCGGCUAACUACGUGCCAGCAGCCGCGGUAAGACGUAGGGGGCGAGCGUUGUCCGGAUUUAUUGGGCGUAAAGCGUGCGUAGGCGGCUGCGCAAGUCGGGUGUGAAACCCCGGGGCUCAACCCCGGAACUGCAUCCGAUACUGCGUGGCUAGAGGUAGGUAGGGGAGAUCGGAAUUCCUGGUGUAGCGGUGAAAUGCGCAGAUAUCAGGAGGAACACCGGUGGCGAAGGCGGAUCUCUGGGCCUUACCUGACGCUCAGGCACGAAAGCUAGGGGAGCGAACAGGAUUAGAUACCCUGGUAGUCCACGCCGUAAACGAUGGGUGCUAGGUGUGGGCGGUGUCGACUCCGUCCGUGCCGAAGCUAACGCAUUAAGCACCCCGCCUGGGGAGUACGGCCGCAAGGCUAAAACUCAAAGGAAUUGACGGA